Molecule: ribosomal RNA, 422 nt
Filed under: uncultured bacterium
Lineage: Bacteria
Description: bacterial SSU rRNA
Rfam family: Bacterial small subunit ribosomal RNA
Source: RNAcentral
UGAGGAAUAUUGGACAAUGGGCGCAAGCCUGAUCCAGCCAUCCCGCGUGCAGGAAGAAUGCCCUAUGGGUUGUAAACUGCUUUUUCGCAUGAAGAACACCCCUGACGUGUCAGGGGCUGACGGUAAUGCGUGAAUAAGCACCGGCUAACUCCGUGCCAGCAGCCGCGGUAAUACGGAGGGUGCAAGCGUUAUCCGGAUUUAUUGGGUUUAAAGGGUGCGUAGGCGGCUUUUUAAGUCAGUGGUGAAAUCCUGCAGCUCAACUGUAGAACAGCCAUUGAAACUGAAGAGCUUGAGUAAUCUUGAGGUAGGCGGAAUGUGUAGUGUAGCGGUGAAAUGCUUAGAUAUUGCACAGAACACCGAUUGCGAAGGCAGCUUACUAAGGAUUUACUGACGCCGAUGCACGAAAGCGUGGGGAUCAAACA